Molecule: ribosomal RNA, 737 nt
Filed under: uncultured Microbacteriaceae bacterium
Lineage: Bacteria; Bacillati; Actinomycetota; Actinomycetes; Micrococcales; Microbacteriaceae
Description: bacterial SSU rRNA
Rfam family: Bacterial small subunit ribosomal RNA
Source: RNAcentral
GACGAACGCUGGCGGCGUGCUUAACACAUGCAAGUCGAACGAUGAAAGAGGAGCUUGCUCCUCUGGAUUAGUGGCGAACGGGUGAGUAACACGUGAGCAAUCUGCCCCUGACUCCGGAAUAACUACGGGAAACUGUAGCUAAUACCGGAUAUGCGCCGAACAGGCAUCUGUAUCGGUGGGAAAGAAUUUCGGUCAGGGAUGAGCUCGCGGCCUAUCAGCUUGUUGGUGAGGUAACGGCUCACCAAGGCGACGACGGGUAGCCGGCCUGAGAGGGUGACCGGCCACAUUGGGACUGAGACACGGCCCAGACUCCUACGGGAGGCAGCAGUGGGGAAUAUUGCACAAUGGGCGCAAGCCUGAUGCAGCAACGCCGCGUGAGGGAUGACGGCCUUCGGGUUGUAAACCUCUUUUAGCAGGGAAGAAGCGAAAGUGACGGUACCUGCAGAAAAAGCGCCGGCUAACUACGUGCCAGCAGCCGCGGUAAUACGUAGGGCGCAAGCGUUGUCCGGAAUUAUUGGGCGUAAAGAGCUCGUAGGCGGUCUGUCGCGUCUGCUGUGAAAUCCCGAGGCUCAACCUCGGGCUUGCAGUGGGUACGGGCAGACUAGAGUGCGGUAGGGGAGAAUGGAAUUCCUGGUGUAGCGGUGGAAUGCGCAGAUAUCAGGAGGAACACCGAUGGCGAAGGCAGUUCUCUGGGCCGUAACUGACGCUGAGGAGCGAAAGCGUGGGGAGCGAACAGG